AGAGUUUGAUCCUGGCUCAGACUGAACGCUGGCGGCAUGGCUAAAGCAUGCAAGUCGAACGAGCCCGCAAGGGCAAGUGGCGGACGGGUUAGUAAUACGAUCGAACGUACCCCGAAGUGGGGGAUAGCGGCGGGAAACUGCCGGUAAUACCCCAUGUGCUCUUCGGAGGAAAGAUUUAUCGCUUUGGGAUCGGCGAUCGUCCUAUCAGCUAGUUGGCGGGGUAAAGGCCCACCAAGGCGAAGACGGGUAGCAGGUGUGAGAGCACGACCUGCAACAUCGGAACUGAGAUACUGUCCGGACUCCUACGGGAGGCUGCAGCAACGAAUCUUCCGCAAUGGGCGCAAGCCUGACGGAGCAAUGCCGCGUGUGGGAUGAAGUGCCUCCGGCAUGUAAACCACUGUCAGAGGAUAGAAACACUGAUCAUCUUCAAAGGAAGUGGCGACUAACUCUGUGCCAGCAGUCGCGGUAAUACAGAGGCCACGAGCGUUAGUCGGAAUUACUGGGCUUAAAGGGUGCGUAGGCGGUUAUUCAAGCGUCCUGUGAAAGCCUCCCGCUCAACGGGAGAACAGCAGGGCGAACUGGGUGACUCGAGGUUGGUAGGGGCUCACAGAACAGUCGGUGGACCGGUGAAAUGGGUAGAGAUCGACUGGAAUGCCGAUGGCGAAGGCGGUGAGCUGGGCCAAAUCUGACGCUGAGGCACGAAAGCGUGGGGAGCAAACAGGAUUAGAUACCCUGGUAGUCC
Molecule: ribosomal RNA, 742 nt
Filed under: uncultured bacterium
Lineage: Bacteria
Description: bacterial SSU rRNA
Rfam family: Bacterial small subunit ribosomal RNA
Source: RNAcentral